CCUUCCAAGCUUUGUCACACAACACCUCCCUUUGGAGACUGUGCCUGGGGCUGGGGACGGUGCAGUGCAAAGACCUCAAGGGUGGGGGACCGUGCAGUGCAAAGGCCUGGGGCAGGGGACUCAGCUGUGCCAAGGCCUGGGGCUGGGGACAGGGCGUGCAAAGGCCUGGGGCAGGGACUCAGCUGUGCAAAGGCCUGGGGCAGGGAUUCAGCUGUGCGAAGGCCGAGGUCAAGGCAGGGCCUGGCUGUGAGGAGCAGGGAGGAGGCCUGUGUGACUAGAGUAGAAGGCAGGAGGUGCGGGGAGGAGACAGCGUCAUGGGCUUCAAAGAAAAUGUCACUAGCCUUCCAUCUGAAGGAGCCAUGGAGGCUUUUGGGUAGAGGAUGCGAGUUGACUCGGUGGUCACCGGAAGCAGACGAUGGUAUAGAUGUUCUGUGCUCCCUGUGUUGAAGGAAGUGGGUCGUGGGCCCCUCCUGAGGGUGAGUGGGGCGGCAGCUCCUCGAGCUCCAGGCCGAAUGGAUGAGUAAGUCACUGCAGGCGACAGUGGCGCUGAGGUAUACACCAGGGGGUGACUCAGUGCCGCCCUUGGCUGCGGUGACUAGGCCUGAGUCAAAUGCAUCCUGUGAUGUUGCUAUCCCAACCUCAGCCGCUCUUCAUUCUAGACCCUCCCCAAGCCUUCCAGGUACAGCCCUGUCUUAGCCUGACCCCCAAAUCCCACUCUGGAGCCGGGAUACGUCUUGGGUGUGGUCACUUGUUUGCCCGGAACCCUCCAUGGCUCCCUAUUUCCCACAGAGCCGACUGUCCUCACGAUGGAGUCCAGGCUGUGUGUGGACAUGCUAGGUUCUGGCUUCCCUCCCUGGGCACCAGCCACUGUCAUUUGUCUGCGCAGUGACUUCCAACUUGUCACCAAGCCCAACCCUGCAAGCCCCAGCCUCCAGCAAGCCUGUGCAAAGCUCUGCUCUCUGGUCGCUGCGCCUGUCCCCACCGGUCACCUGUCUCUGAGACCACCCCAGCAGCUCCCCAGCACACAGCACACUCCUUCCUUUGUGUACAUCCUGACUUGUCUUCUAAAAGUCCGACCCCAGGGACUCUCGUCCAGACAAAUUCCUGUGCACCCUCCACUCAGCGCCCCACCCUCUGUCACGCCAGCUCCACAUGCUGGCUGGCAGCCAUCGUCCUUCAUUUUGGAGGCAGCUGGAGCUUGCUGAUUGGUCUGACUAACAGCGAGUCUUGUGUUCUCUCUGUCCAUUCGGUGCCCUGAAGCCCCAGAGGUCAUUGCACCGCCUGCCUGAAACCAUUUUCCAGUUGGGGUAAUAAAGUGCCCUCCUCAGUAGUUGAAAACUAAGCCUGUCCCAGGAGCCAGAGUGGCCCAUGUGGGCGUCGGAGCACAGGGGUCCCCACUUCUCCCACAUCGUGUGACAGGCUACCGUAGCCUCAGAGGCUACAGUAGGGCCAGACCAGGUCUGCGACUCCCCAUGUGUGAUGGACCCGGGCUGUUAAUCUAGGCGUGAUGUACAAGUGACAGUCUACUGGGUUCUGUCCUGAACUUGGGGCCAGUGUGACAAGUGUCAGGGUCUUCCUUCCCGCCCCUGUUGGAGGACAAACGGGUGCUUCCGCGUGUCUCUAAGAAAGCAGCACCAGCAUCUGCUCCGCUGUCCUGGAGCCAUGAACUUGGCACUGCCAUCCAUGGAGGGUCGAGUUUAUGGAAAAAAAUCAAUUUUUUGUGCCGUCUGGUGUUCUCCCUGACCUGUCUGGCCUUGGUAUUUGUUUAGUGUCUUGGUUCCGUUAACAAGCACUACCACUGCCAUCACCACCACCAAAUCACCAUCAUCACCAAAUCACCACCAUCACCAUCAUCAUUACCAAACCACCACAGUCACCACCACCACCAUCAUCAUCACCACCAUCAUCAUCACCACCAUCAUCACCAACAUCAUGACUAUCAUCUCAACCUUUCCAGUCUCCCCAGCAUUCACUGCGCCUGGGACACUGCUCAGAGUGGAUCUUAGAUACAGCUGACCAGCCCUGGCCUUUGUCCUUCAGGAUCUCCUACGGUCCUUGCUCCCAUUCCACUGACACACAGACUGAUGCUCAGAGAAGGGACACAGCUGUCCCAUGGCCAGUCGCAGGUGUUACAUCUGCCCGGUGUGAACCAAAGCACGUGGAGGAUGCUGAGGACAGCGGACAGCUAGUGGGUUUGCUGCUUGUCCCGAGGAAGGAGAGUGGAGCCCCUCUUGGGAACCGGGGCUGGAACUUAAUGUGGACACCCCAAAAGGUCAGGGCCGCAGAUAGACUGGAAGGCCCAGGUUAAAGGCUGGAGAUUAGCAGUAAAUAAAGGAGGAGGAUGGAGAGGAAGACAAGGAGGAGGAAGAGGAGGAAGAAGUGUGGAGGCUGUACUUCCUUCCACCCGCAGUGAUCCUCAACAAGGUCACUGCAGCCCAGGACAGCAGUCACAGGCGCCUCACCAGCCAGGACUCUUGAACGCUUGGACCACAUCUGAACUGUCAUUCAUUUAUUCCUUUACACUCUGGGGACUAUGUAGUCCAGACUGGCUUUGAGCGGUUGAUCCUCCUGCCACCACCUCCCAAGCGCAGAGAUGAUCAGUGUGCACUCUGGAAGGGACGGUCCAAGUGCGUGUGACAACAGAGAAAAAGAAAAGAAAAUGGUAAGAUUCCAACCUAUAUUCCGGCCAUGCUGGCACUCAAGAGGCUGAGGCAGGAGGAUGGUAAGUUCCAGAGAAACAUGGGCACAGUGACCCACUGUUUCCCAAGAGCAAGAGCUGUGGACAGGGCUCGGUGGCCUAGAACCUGCCUGGUGUGCCCAGGAGGAGAACGCAGAGAACAAAAGCUUAGCGCAGUUGCAAUCCCAUGACCCAGGACAAACAGAGCUCACCCUCUGACCCUUCAUCUCUUCCUUCUGGAAACUGACCAUCUCCUGACCCCAUGACUGUUGCUUCCAUCCCUGGAGGGUCAAAGGAAGUUAAGCCCAGUUCUGGGGCAGUGACAUUUGUAAAACACAAAGUUUAAGUGUUUUCAGUACAGAAGGGGGAGCAUUUUGAUUUAUAGUCAUUGGAAGAAGCCUUGGUGGCAGGGGCUGCAUGGCUUCACCGGGGCCUAUCAGCACCAGGUGGGUCGCGGGCCCCAGGUAGGUUAAGCAAAUGCAUCACUUUAAUAGUCUGUGGAGGCGGCUGGAGCCAUUAGUGAAAGGGGAGGAUAAAUAUCACUUGAAGCAGCUCUGGAAUCGCCGGUUUUAUCACCCAAAAUUGUCCCUGUGCUAUUUACUUUCAAUUUAGAUUUUCGGGAAAAUGGCUCUGGGUACAGUUAUGUAUGAAGAAGUGGAACCAGAAUGGAAAAAUGACCCGAUUUCACCAUCCAAGACCCAAACGAGCCUCGUGGCUGCUUUUGAGUCAUCGUUCCUGUAUUUAGUGGGCACCUGGGCGCUGGGCAUGGAGGCUGGAAGAGCUGCUUGACAUCCUACGGCCACAGUAGGCUUCCUAGUCGGGAAACUGAGGCUCAGAGAGAGGUCCUUGUGGUCAAUGUAGCUCUGUUUCACAGCCUGAUCUUAUUCAAGAGCUUCUACGGCCUCGUGGUCUGCGGGAGAAGCCUCCUACGGUUACACUUCACACCAGGAUGUGUUGAGGGUAUGCCUGCCAUCCCAGUACUUGGGACUGAGGCAGGAGGAUGACGAGCUCCAGGCCAGUAUUGACUGUGUGGUGGGAUCCGAGGUCAAAACUAAAAGCAAAUAUAAACGGAGAAGUAAACAGAAAAACAAGAACCGAGAAGUGACCCCAUGAGUAAGGGUGUGUGGCAGUGAGCAGGAAGCCCAAGUUUGGUCUCUGGGGUGAACAUGGUGGAAAGACAAAACACCCUAUGAAGAUGAGCCAAGAGUACAGGCUCACAAGCCACACCUGCAACCAGGAGAAGCCUGGAAAAGGUUAGGGGACAUUAGAAACACAUGCAGAACGACAGAGUCAAGCCACAUCUGUGACCAUGUGGGAAUGGCCAGUUGUUGAUGGAAUAGAGACCACAGGAGGGAUCGCUAUGCCCCUGUCAAAAAGGAAAAAUAGGGCAAAUAGAAAUCCUGGCAAGGAGGAAGAAAGAUUGUUCAGAAACUGCUUAGGAGACAACAUCCACAGGACAGGGGUGUGCACAGUUACAGGUGGGGCUGCAGGCUCGCUGUCAUCACAGGGUUGGGCAAACUCAGACCCCAGCCUACCCCCAGCCCCUUACCAUGGGAUCUCAGACAACAGGAUAACCAGUUUCAUGAGAGAGGUUUAUCUUGUCUGGAUAGGUUGGACUCAAAUUUCUGCAUUUGCUUUCUGCGUGCCGGGUUGCAAGUGUGUACACCUGUGUCUGCUAGCUUGCACAAGGCCAGGAAUAUCGGCUUUUUUUUCUGUUAAAUUUGCUACUGUAUCUCCCAGCCUGGUGCCAACUGGGUGCUCACAGGUCUCUGUCAGCUUUCCAUUGCUGUGACAAAAUUCUUGAUGUAAUCAGUUUAGAAAGAGGGAGUUUAUCUCAGUUAACAGUCUUAGAGGUUCUAGUUCAUGUCAGUCGAUCACAUUGCUUUGGGUGUGGAAAGAGGCCAUGAGUCAUUACAGAAGAAUGUAAUGGGCAGAGCUGUUUACUUCAUGAGAGUCAGGACAUGGCAGGGUGAGUGGGGAGAGAAAAAGAAAUAAAGACAGAAGGACAGACAAGAAGAAUGGAGAGGAGAGAAGAUAUGAAACAAGAAUGGGAUUCUACAACCCCUUCAAGAGCAGUGACCUUACCUCCUUACAAGAAUGCCAUAGGCUGGACACCAAGAUGUCAACAUCUGUGCCCUUGGGGCAUUUUCAACCACAGUACUGUGUCAGGACCCAGUGCAACAGAUUCCAUCCCCUACCCUCAGUUCCUUCUAUCCUAUGGCUUGGCCUUUCAGGGCACAGGAGGUUGCCUAUGUCAGCAGAUGUAUGCUGUUAACAAUCCCUUGUUGGCUGAGCCAAGGCAGAGAUGUCAGCUGGAUCUGAGUUUCCCAGACAAGCAUGAGGCUGUGGGUUCCUGCCCUAGAAUAAAGUGUCCCAGAGAUCA
Long non-coding RNA from Arvicola amphibius (Eurasian water vole), 5060 nucleotides. RefSeq lists it as uncharacterized. The transcript is spliced from 4 exons. The record is from RefSeq and is a predicted model, not a curated record. Lineage: Eukaryota; Metazoa; Chordata; Mammalia; Rodentia; Cricetidae.